AAAAAAGGUAAGCUACUAAGAGCGAAUGGUGGAUGCCUUGACUGGUAAAGGCGAUGAAGGACGUACUAGACUGCGAUAAGCUACGGGGAGCUGUCAAGAAGCUUUGAUCCGUAGAUUUCCGAAUGGGGCAACCCAAUGUAUAGAGAUAUACAUUACCUAUAUAGGAGCGAACGAGGGGAAUUGAAACAUCUUAGUACCCUCAGGAAAAGAAAUCAAUAGAGAUUGCGUCAGUAGCGGCGAGCGAAAGCGCAAGAGGGCAAACCCAGUGCUUGCACUGGGGGUUGUAGGACUGCAAUGUGCAAGAGCUGAGUUUAGCAGAACAUUCUGGAAAGUAUAGCCAUAGAGGGUGAUAGUCCCGUAUGCGAAAAACAAAGCUUAGCUAGCAGUAUCCUGAGUAGGGCGGGACACGAGGAAUCCUGUCUGAAUCCGGGUCGACCACGAUCCAACCCUAAAUACUAAUACCAGAUCGAUAGUGCACAAGUACCGUGAGGGAAAGGUGAAAAGAACUGAGGUGAUCAGAGUGAAAUAGAACCUGAAACCAUUUGCUUACAAUCAUUCAGAGCACUAUGUAGCAAUACAGUGUGAUGGACUGCCUUUUGCAUAAUGAGCCUGCGAGUUGUGGUGUCUGGCAAGGUUAAGCAAACGCGAAGCCGUAGCGAAAGCGAGUCUGAAUAGGGCGCUUAGUCAGAUGCUGCAGACCCGAAACGAAGUGAUCUAUCCAUGAGCAAGUUGAAGCUAGUGUAAGAACUAGUGGAGGACUGAACCCAUAGGCGUUGAAAAGCCCCGGGAUGACUUGUGGAUAGGGGUGAAAGGCCAAUCAAACUUCGUGAUAGCUGGUUCUCUCCGAAAUAUAUUUAGGUAUAGCGUUGUGUCGUAAUAUAAGGGGGUAGAGCACUGAAUGGGCUAGGGCAUACACCAAUGUACCAAACCCUAUCAAACUCCGAAUACCUUAUAUGUAAUCACAGCAGUCAGGCGGCGAGUGAUAAAAUCCGUCGUCAAGAGGGAAACAACCCAGACUACCAGCUAAGGUCCCUAAAUCUUACUUAAGUGGAAAACGAUGUGAAGUUACUUAAACAACCAGGAGGUUGGCUUAGAAGCAGCCAUCCUUUAAAGAAAGCGUAAUAGCUCACUGGUCUAGUGAUUUUGCGCGGAAAAUAUAACGGGGCUAAAGUAAGUACCGAAGCUGUAGACUUGCACACAACUUAGAUUAUUUAAGUUUAGAAUAAGUAGUUUAAGUUGUGUGCAAGUGGUAGGAGAGCGUUCUAUUUGCGUCGAAGGUAUACCGGUAAGGAGUGCUGGAGCGAAUAGAAGUGAGCAUGCAGGCAUGAGUAGCGAUAAUUAAUGUGAGAAUCAUUAACGCCGUAAACCCAAGGUUUCCUACGCGAUGCUCGUCAUCGUAGGGUUAGUCGGGUCCUAAGUCGAGUCCGAAAGGGGUAGACGAUGGCAAAUUGGUUAAUAUUCCAAUACCAACAUUAGUGUGCGAUGGAAGGACGCUUAGGGCUAAGGGGGCUAGCGGAUGGAAGUGCUAGUCUAAGGUCGUAGGAGGUUAUACAGGCAAAUCCGUAUAACAAUACUCCGAGAACUGAAAGGCUUUUUGAAGUCUUCGGAUGGAUAGAAGAACCCCUGAUGCCGUCGAGCCAAGAAAAGUUUCUAAGUUUAGCUAAUGUUGCCCGUACCGUAAACCGACACAGGUGGGUGGGAUGAGUAUUCUAAGGCGCGUGGAAGAACUCUCUUUAAGGAACUCUGCAAAAUAGCACCGUAUCUUCGGUAUAAGGUGUGGUUAGCUUCGUACUAGGAUUU
RNAcentral lists this ribosomal RNA (1800 nucleotides) under Campylobacter jejuni. Its description in RNAcentral is "bacterial LSU rRNA". It matches the Rfam family "Bacterial large subunit ribosomal RNA", at positions 1 to 1773 of the family's 2925-position model. Lineage: Bacteria; Pseudomonadati; Campylobacterota; Epsilonproteobacteria; Campylobacterales; Campylobacteraceae. The record is from RNAcentral.